AUUGAACGCUAGCGGCAUGCUUAACACAUGCAAGUCGAACGAGUGGCGGACGGGUGAGUAAUAUAUCGGAACGCGCCCUGUAGCGGGGGAUAAAUACUCGAAAGAGUGGCUAAUACCGCAAAAUAUUGGAGCGCCCGAUAUCGGAUUAGCUAGUGGGUGGGGUAAUGCCUCACCAAGGCGAAGAGCCGUAGCUGGUUUGAGAGGACGACCAGCCACACUGGGACUGAGACACGGCCCAGACUCCUACGGGAGGCAGCAGUGGGGAAUUUUGGACAAUGGGGGAAACCCUGAUACAGCCAUGCCGCGUGUAUGAGAAGGCCUUCGGGUUGUAAAGUACUUUUGGCAGGGAAGCGGUAUCUGCAGAAUAAGCACCGGCUAACUACGUGCCAGCAGCCGCGGUAAUAC
RNAcentral lists this ribosomal RNA (405 nucleotides) under uncultured bacterium. Its description in RNAcentral is "partial 16S ribosomal RNA". It matches the Rfam family "Bacterial small subunit ribosomal RNA", at positions 30 to 526 of the family's 1533-position model. The record is from RNAcentral.